Molecule: long non-coding RNA, 1458 nt
Organism: Strigops habroptila (Kakapo)
Lineage: Eukaryota; Metazoa; Chordata; Aves; Psittaciformes; Psittacidae
Exons: 2
Source: RefSeq, a predicted model, not a curated record
AUGGUUUAGUGGUGGAGCUGGCAGUGCUGGGUUAAUGGGUGGACUUGAUCAUCUUGAAGAUCAUUUUCAACCUAAAUGACUCUGAUUCUGUGAUAAUGAGCCUAAUUAGUGUAUGAGUGAAUGUGAUCUGUGUCUUUGUUUAUUGUUGUGGGCAUGUUUGACAAGUAUCAAGCUGAGUAAACCCUAACCUGGUAUUAGCUAAAUUGCUGGGCAGUGUCUGUUGGCUGCAUGGCUGGGCAAGGGGAUUGGAAGUUGGAUCCUAGGCUAAUAUUAAGCCACACUUAUGCAGUGCCAAAACUCCGAGCAUCCUGACUGUCAGUGCAGCAAACCCUUCCUCUUUCUCUUCCAGAUACCUUAUACACACACCUUUUAUGUUGUAUUGCUGCCUGAUUUGUUCUGCUUUCAAGUCUCCCUUUCCUUUACUCCUAAAGUCUUUUUAAUUGCAUUUCUUCCCCUGCUUUGCUGGGCAGACUGAGGCUCUCAUACUCUUGCAUGAAACAUGGAGUCAUGGGAGCAGUCCCUCUCUCCACCCCAAACCAGUUUACUUCACUUUUGGCCCUUAUGCUACCAGAAAGUAGCCCUGUUUGGUUGUGAAUGUCAAGGCAGCUGUCUUCCUCUGCAUGUGCUGCUUUGGUUUUACUUUUACCAGCCCUCCUGUUGUCUUAAGAGUCUAAGUAAGAGUACUGGAACCAAGCGUGGCUGGGGUCUGAUCUAAGGGAGGAUUGAAGAUGGAUUUUCCAGACAGGAAUUUGCCUAGUAUAAUGUUUUGAAGAUGGAGUUUUUACCACCUCUACUGUUGAUCCCUGUUUUCUGCUCAUCUCUAGAGGAUCCCUUUUGGAUCACAGGUGACCUGAGAGCAGGCAAGAGAACAUAGGAUUAGUCUACGGCAUAUUCUCUGCAUUGUGCAUCUGGCAUUAACUCUCAGCCUGAGCAGGGACAUAAGUUGCUCUACUGCCAAAGCAGAGCAACCCCAAACCCCACUUCCACUUUCCAAGCAACCUUUUGAUAUGUAAAAUAGCCUAAAUAAGCCUCUCUGUUACAGUGGAAGAAAAGGGUUUAGGAUGUGCUUCAGUUGAUGCACAAAGUGUUGCUGUGGUGGUGAGAUUGCAUCAGUACUGCGAGCGUCUCAAAGGCAGCUGAAGGUCUGGAAGAAGCUGCUGCCAGGAUCUGAGCCAGAUUGUCACAUUCACUCACUGUCAUGUGUUGAUCCCCUUGGAGACUUGUUGCAGCUCUUGUGUAUUUGAUAAUGCCUCCUUUCCUUUGGAGGGGUGUCUGUCUUUAGAGGGAUGCUCUUUCAGUGAAAGUCCCAACAGGACUAAGCGAGAAACAACAGCAGCAGCAUGAACUUCCAUGGCAAAUGUCAUUCUGCAUUUCCUAAACUGAGGGGUUUUUUUUUCUUCCAGGCAUUCAUAUAGAGACUGCAUGUUGUAAAACUGGAUAAACACCAAAUUAAUAGUA